Molecule: long non-coding RNA, 442 nt
Filed under: Nicotiana benthamiana
Lineage: Eukaryota; Viridiplantae; Streptophyta; Magnoliopsida; Solanales; Solanaceae
Description: long non-coding RNA (NBEN_LNC037205)
Source: RNAcentral
GAAGAUCCCAUGGGUCGUACUUGUACAGGUCAAUUUCAGCAAUAAUCGGGACAGCAAUCGGCUGCGACGCACAUUUUCGACAUAGGUAGUGCAUCACAAGCUCUUCAUCAGUUGGAUGGAAUCGGAAUCCAGGAGGCAAUUGCAAUUCUACCGCUGCCAUUUUUUCACAAUGAUUUUGACUUGCUGUAUUUGUGUAUUUAUUCCGGAAUCCAGGAGGCAAUUGCAAUUCAACCGCUGCCAUUUUUUCACAAUGAUUUUGACUUGCUGUAUUUGUGUCUUUAUUUUUCUUUUGAUUGAUAGGUAGUGUGUGUAGUAGAUAACUGAUUACAGUGAGAGGCGCUCUGAAAGUUGAAACACAGAACAGUAGAGGAUGAAGGGAAUAUAUAGCAGGAGAGAAGGACACGUGGCUAGAGAAGGCGGCGGGUUCUAGAAUAAACGUGUG